Molecule: long non-coding RNA, 331 nt
Filed under: Elaeis guineensis (African oil palm)
Lineage: Eukaryota; Viridiplantae; Streptophyta; Magnoliopsida; Arecales; Arecaceae
Description: long non-coding RNA (EGUI_LNC052394)
Source: RNAcentral
AAUAAGGUGAGUGAACAUCCUAUGUGAUCUCAUAUGAUGAUGAUUCUGGAAGUCUUUAGCCAAAGCAAGGUGAUUAUUAGAAAAAAAAUUUUAAUAUAUUAUCAACUGAAUCAUCAUCUUUAGAUCGAGAUACAUAAAGAUAAAUGAUUGGAUUUGACAUAUUUUCAUGCCCACAGCUCAUCUGGGAUGUUAUUUGUAUUGGGAUGCAUAGGGAUUUCAUGCUUGCAUUUCUAAAAUUUUCAGCAGAAGAAUAUUAGAGUAAACUAUUUAAUCUACAAAUAUAUGUAUAAGAUCUGAUCUUAAAACUCUUACAAACAGAUCUAUGACAUGA